UGUAGCUCGGCCGUGCGAAACCGAGCCCGGUAGCGCAAGGACAGUCAUGGACGUGUAACGGGCUACGCAAACGGUUUAUUUUUGACCACUAAUUGCUUGUUACAGCUAAGCCACUUGGGCAACCGUAUCAGAUUUCAACCUACUUUCUGCCACCGCCCGCUCCCGUUGGAGUGUUGGCCCGAGGUCGUGCAUGCGCUGUCCUUGAUGUGUCUCCUUAUCCUCACUUUCCAGUGCGAUUGCAUCUGAAUUCAUUAUCUUUAACCACAGAUGAACAUCGAACGAGCACAUGGAGUUCCAGACGCCGAUCCUCGGAGAAUCCACGUGUGACGGAAAAGAUGGAUAAUCUCUUUGGCGCGGUUCCAGCCUGGUGGUUGUUUCAGGCUGAUUGUACAAAAAGCCUACAGCAUUUAUUCUGCCAGGGCAUUACACACAACAUCUUAUUUCGUUUCUCUAUCUGUGGCAACGAUCCUAUUACUGCUUUCCAAUGUACGUGACUGCGCAUAGCGGAUCAUGCCUAGAAAAUAUUGUGGGUUUGAAGUCGGAAAUUAGCCUGUUAGUGAUGGGGUUAGUUAAACAAAGUUAGGCUCUGAUCACAGAAAUAUACAGGCUCAUUGUGCAUACAGAACAUCCACAGAAAUACACACCUUGAGUUCAAUUACUUGAGCGGAUGUUCAGCUCCUAAGGGCGGUGGCAGGUCUAGGCCCAGCUGGCUAGGAUUCUGAAAAACAGCCGAAUGGUAGUAUUCACUCAAAUAGGGCUCCAGUGGCUGCAGCCCACCAAGGUAAAAAAUUUCAAUCAAAAAACAAGGUAAACCAGUGUGUUUUCUUGAUUAAAGGCAAACUCAAGUCCUAAGGUAUGCAUUAAACUUCAGUCAGGUAUAUGUGGCCUUAUAGUAUUCUUAGGUAUUACACAUGAAUCAGAAACUCUGUACAUGAAUCAGAAAUACAGGUGUGGAGGGCAUGUGACGGCCCAGUAGAGGAUGCAAUACCAAUAUGGUAAACAAAGAUUGGUGGCUUGAGUCUCUCUUCCCAAACCUAUUUCCUUCCCUCUAUCAGUAAGUUUGGUGCACAGAAUACAAAUUUAGGUCAUGGCAUUAUCGCUUCCUCUUCGUAGAGGAGGAUGUUCAUUUGAGCUGCUGCUUUCGAGUUCCACCUGAAGCUACAAAGCCCUGCAGUCUUCAGCCGUUUCAUGUUCACCCCCCAAUGUUUUAAGUCAUUUCUCUCUCCAGUGCCAGUGUUGGGAGCACAGGGUGAAGAUCAGGUGAGCGUUUCUCUAUCUGGCAGGAACAGGUCUGCCUGGUAGGAUGCUUAGGAUGAGGGGGCAGACGUCUUGAGUUGAAAGGUGGAGAAUGGCCUGCAAGCCUUUCUGUAUCGGAGUGAACUGCCGAGGACACCGGCAGUCUCACUGCUGCUGCGUUGAUUGGAACCUGGCGUUUUGUCAGAAGGCGGGGGAUUUGGAAGGCUCCGUGUUCAGUGUGCUCUUCUGUUCGGUCCCCUUCUGUGGGGACAGUCAAUUUAAUUACAGAGGUAUGGACUGGAUUUUUUGGCAGUUAUUGUUACCAGUGAUAACGAUAAAUCAUCUCUCUCCUGGCUUAAGCUAUCCAUUUGUGUCCCGCCUCAGCAAUUACAUUUUAUGCUUGCAAGCGAUUGUUAGAAUAUUCACUUUUGAACACGCUGGUUCUUUUUCUGUGCAGCGCAAAAAUAAACCGUUUUGUGGAAACAGAAAUGCUCGGUAUUGGUAGGCCAUUGUGCGCUUGGAGUAACGUGCAGUUGUAAGAAGGAUCAGCGUGGAAAACCGUGACCCUGAGUCCUGAUCUCAGCCUGAUCUUGACUGGCUGGGUGAUAUUAGGGGUUGCUUCCCAGAUUCUCUUAAUUUGGUUUGAGAAGUUAGGAUUGCCUGUAACCAUCAGGUAAAACAACAGUCUUGAAUGGAUGAAAAUGCCAGCUGCCUGCUUAGAAGGUAACUCGAGGCCUCCCGGAGGAGGAAGGAAGUUUUAUGCAAGUGUUUGAACAAGGGAGGUGGACUGAGGGAAGGAGAAGAAAAAGGCCAGGACCCACAGGACUGCUAUGGCUGCCCACACAACGGUGUUGAUCUCUCUUUGAGUUGCGGUUAUCAACUAGGAUUUGACUACUUGCAAGGCAGAAAAACAUCAGUUAGAAAAUGCUGGUAAUUAGUUAGUAGGGGAAAAUGGUGAGGAAGAAGCGAAGGAAGAAAGAGAUGCCAGUGUGGAUGAAAUGUCAGUGGAUGAGGUCAGGGGGACGUUCCAAAGAAGCAGCACGCAGAGGCGAGUUGGUAUUUGAACCUGCAGGGAAUGAGGCAAGGAGGGAACGGGGCAGUUCGGUUCCAUGAUGUACACAAUUGCGGGAUGAAAAACUGUUAAAGGGAACAUACAAAGGCAUUUGGAAAAUCAGUGCUAUGCGUAGGCUGGGUUUUGAAGUGUGGAUUGAAGUGAUGAUGCAAAAAUUUUAGUUUCUUUAAAAAUGAAGAAAGUAAUUUUAAUGGUGUGUUGGAGGACAAAGUGAAAAGUCACAAGUUUGGAAAUGACAGAGCUAUAAACAUGACCUUUGCUGGCUGUGCUCUAGUACUCGGAGUAUUUACACAACCACAUGCUCUUUUUCAGUUAGAAUAAUGUACUUGUCAGUACCAUAGCGCUUCUGCACUGGGCUGCAGUGGGCAUAGGUAAACUUUCAGAUGAUUGAGGAAAAAAACCCAAAUGUUCGCAAGGUAUAAAGGAAAAUUAGUUCAGAUAUUUAGUAUUUAGAUUUUACUUUUGCAUUUCACAGCAUGGUAGCAAAAGCGUGGCAGAUUUUUCUUGGAAAAUUAAGAUGCAUUCCAGCAGAAACUGAUGCAGAGACUCAGCUUUUUCCUGAAAAAUAGCUUCCGCUAUUCCCUGUAGCUAAGUAUUUAGAGCUUGCAGGAUCAGGGCCUAACAAGCCACACAUCCUUCUUACUAUUUUUUUUUUUUUUCCUCCAGAAAAACAAAACUCUCCAUGUUAAAAUGAUUGGAAAUUGAACUUAGGGGGAUCUAGCAUGUGAUUACUUUUUUUAGACAGGAUUUUCUUCAUAGCUGAAUUGGACUGAGUCUUUUUUUUCUCCCAAACCAGAUGGUAAGUGAUUCAGUACUUUCAGCAGUAGAAAAAUGAUUUGUUUUCUUUCCUCAGUGGUUGGUGUGAAUGUACUUUUCUUUAUCUAUUUACAUAUUAUGUAAACACACUUUACCGGCAUUUAUGUACCUCGUUUACAGUCCUAAUCCUGCAGAGAGCCCUGUAUAGGUAAGGCCUUGCACAUAGAAGGAGUUGAUGUUGCUUACGGAGAGCUGUUUGCAUGGAACUCAUGGCAGGGUUGUAACUGUGUUUGUAUUUUUAUAUGUACACUUAAAUUUGUGACACUGUAAGAGAAUGCCAGCAGGACCGUAAAUCCGCAAAACAGUUGAGUAACUUUGCGCACUUUACUUUUUUUCACCUAACAAAGUCUCUGGGGAUGCCCUUGAUCUCUUCUGCUGUCUUCCUGUGGUAGGCUGUUGUCCUUGUGACUUCUGAGUUGCAGCUAAAAGCUUUAUCCUUUUUAUAGAGCGUUGGGGCGAGUUCUUCCUGGUGUGCAGAGGGCGUGAGGGGCCUCAUUCGUGUGACCUUGUGGACUUGUACUGAUGCUACCAGGGGGACUUCGGAAGGGAUUCCAGUGACAGUGAGAAAUAUUUGGGAGAGUAUUAAAAAAAACCCACCUUCUUUCAUGCGUGCAUCUGGAUUCUCAAGGUUGUCGGCAUCUAGGUUUGUGUGUGUAUAGACAGUGUUAAAACUAAAUGCAGCGUUCUUCAUCGUUUUGUGCUGAAUAAAACAUACAUGUAAACCAUAUACAUGCCGUGUCAGCAUAUGGGUAUUUGAGGCAGAACGGAAUGAUCUGAAGCUGAUAGCGUACUACAUUAUAGGGAAAAAGUAUGUUGGAGUGUCCAGCUGUUGAUUCCUUAUCCAAGGAGGUUCAAGCAAGGUUGCCCAAGCAGCCUUACGGCUGUCCUUUCCAAGCAGUUCAGAGCCAUUUUGUAAAUUGGAUGUGCUUUUACCCUAGCUUUGUCUGGGAAUGAAAGCGUUCAAUGCAUAGAGUCAUACUGCUGCUUUACUGAGAAGGUAAUACUCUACUUCAGAAAUAGUGGCCAGCUUCUCUGUUUACAAAUCUGUCUGUACAGCGUUGGAGCGGAAUUAUCCGAUUCUCUUCUUGGUUCUCACCUCAUCUACGCACGCUUCAGUUGAGUCACUGGGGCUUCGCGCAAAGGAGCUGGCCCCUUGCCUUGUUUUCCAGGUUUACCAGAGAGUCGAAACCCAGUUCUUAGCAUCUCCCACUUGAAAAAUGUGACAAUCUUCUGCUUCUGAGAAUUCUAGUAGGGGAAAAAAAAAAAAGACAUGUGAAUUAGCAUGAGAAAUACUGCGCUGUGGCAUGUCAAGUUUUUCUCCUCCAUUAAAGUAUUCAGUGGAAGGGUGGCAGACGAGGGCCCUUAAAGCUAGCUCUGUGGUUUUGUCGUGGGUCAGUAGUCAAGCUGGGGCGACUGGCUGUGCUCCUAUUUGUGUAAUAAAUUACUUCUCCCUUUAUGCAAGGGGAAGGUUUGGGGGAGUUUGCCUCUCGGGCUACGCAGCUGCUGAUGUGGUCACGCAAGGUGGCAGAAAAGCGUGUCUGCGGAAGGGCAGGGAAUCCUGUGGGAUGCUGCUGGAUGGGGUGGCCUGGGAAUCCCGCCCGAGGUCAGGCUGCCUGCUGGCAGGAACGAGGGUUCUCUGCCUGUUAGGUACCGAGGGCUGUACCUCUGGACAUACCUCAUCACGGUCGCUAGCAGUCACAUUUUUUUAUAACUGGGAAUUGCUUUAUUACAUUACCAGAAAGAAAUAAAAGCAUGAAGCAAUGGUUACGAACUUCUAAACGCUGUAUCUGUAGAAGAGCAGAACAAUAACUCCGAACCCAGCUGUUGUGGGCGUGCAGGGACAGCGGGAUUAAGAUUUUUGUUCACUCAGACUGUGGCCGUGCAUGCCCUUGCCCUCGUUGCUGCCUCCUGACUGGCAGCAGAGCGCUUGCUUCCCAGCGCCGCGGUUCCCGGUGUCCCCUGGCACCUCGCCGCCUGUCCCUCUCCGGCCAGGUGCUGCCCAGGGAAUGGCACCGUGCCUGGGAGCGGGGCUGUGGCUGCGGCAUGUACAGCAGAUGAAGGGAGUCCAGAUGAAGGGAGUCCAGGAGAAGUUAAACCAGGUGAUCUGUCGGUCAGGGAGAAUGAGGGAAUUCUGCCCUCAGCACAGAGGGCUCUGAAAAACCAGGGCUGGAGAUCUGUUACCUCCUGUGAGCCCCAGGGAGUACAAACUGCGGAGAAAGCUUGGCUCAGAGCUUUGAGGACUAAGUAAUUGCUGGAAGCUGUAGGUUACUUAGGACAUAAGCAUGCAUUUAUAAGCACUGGGAGUACUGAAGAGAGUUUCUUCUGGUUUCAGUUAAUAACAGGGCACGUUGUGUACAGUUUGUUUGCUUGGUUGGUUCAUUUUGUUGUGUGUAAAUACACUGUAGAAACAAUUUUGUCUUCUGUUCAGCAUUACUCAGCUGGCGUGCUUCUUGCAAAGCAUUAAGGGGAAUAAGUAACCUGCUCUGCUCUGUCUGGGAAACAAGGUCCAUUUGAAAUAAAGGCCCGCGAGGGAGACGGUGGGACUGCAGAGGAAUUAGAAGGACAGUGCAGCAGACGGAAACCUCCGUUGGCCAUGUGAGUUGCCUCAGUGAAAAAGGAGUUCUGCUCUCCCGCGUGCGGUACGAAACUCAAGCUCCACUGAUCUUAGUGGAAAUGACGUGGUUUUGCACCGAGGCAAAUGAGAGCAGAAUCUGGCCAACUGUUAAUAGCUUUUUGUAUUUGGGGCUGAAAUAAAGUGGCUGUGUAUGCAAAUAAUUGUGCAAGCGUGAUUCCUAAGUGACUUAUAAAAGGCGAAUUCAAUAUUUAAUUGUUGGAAAUACAAACUGUUUGGCACAGAUCUCCUGGUUUGGCUGAGCUGUACUUGACCUGUGACAGAGAGAGCAAAGGUGAUUUGAAGUCCUGGGAUCCAAGGGGCCAGUCUGUAAUGGAACUCAAGGCAGGGGCAGCACAUUGGCUGCUUUGUAAUUCCAGAUGCUUAUGCUGUGUACAAACCCAGUUGAUUCAUUAUCUUUUAUUUCCAUUAUCUCAUCUCCAUCUUUAUGUGUGAAUCUGAGCUAUUUGACUUCAAGGGGGUGGCAUGUAACUAGAAUUGAAAAAAAAAGGGGGGGUUGAUAACAAGAAGUUGGUGGUUUUGAUGUAAAGAUGUUCUGAUGUAACCAAAAUGAUAAAAUUGGUUAAGCCUAUGUGCAGAAUCUGAAAACUUUGUGGGAAGCCUAGCAAGUUGAAAAUAACCUUUCUUCUGCUCUGUGCCCUGCAUUUCUUGCAAUAUUUUGACCCAUGCCUCAGAAUGGGGAUAAUUUGGUUCUUAGAAUAUAAAAGAGAUGAUUACGAGCAAUCACACUGCUGUAGCUUAACACACUGUCGCUCCUCAGCUGUGCUUCAGGACCCAGCUGAACUUCAGGAGCUCUGCUCUGGCGCCCAGUGGUGGAAUGGUACCUGUUGG
Egretta garzetta (little egret) is the source of this 6587-nucleotide long non-coding RNA. RefSeq lists it as uncharacterized. The transcript has 3 exons. NCBI's taxonomy places the organism in Eukaryota, Metazoa, Chordata, Aves, Pelecaniformes, Ardeidae. The record is from RefSeq and is a predicted model, not a curated record.